CUCUACCUGCUAACUGCUGGUGUAGUUUGUCACUGUUAAAUGCCGACCAUUCUACAUUCCAUGCUAAUUCACAGCUGUGUUUAUACUCUGUGUUUACGACACGCCAAGCGCUAAUGCUACCACUGCGUUAGCUGAACUUUACAGAGCCUAAAAUGUGUGUGCACUAAAUGUAGCCGGUUUCGUU
Molecule: long non-coding RNA, 184 nt
Organism: Etheostoma cragini (Arkansas darter)
Lineage: Eukaryota; Metazoa; Chordata; Actinopteri; Perciformes; Percidae
Exons: 3
Source: RefSeq, a predicted model, not a curated record